CCUGUGUCACGGGUCUGGGUGGGGCCCAAGAUCUGCAUGUCUCGAGAGCUCCCAGUAAGGUCCAUCGUGCUGGUCCAGGGA
RNAcentral lists this microRNA precursor (81 nucleotides) under Octodon degus (degu). RNAcentral's name for it is "miRNA (ENSODEG00000021801.1)". The record is from RNAcentral. Lineage: Eukaryota; Metazoa; Chordata; Mammalia; Rodentia; Octodontidae.